GAUGAACGCUGGCGGCGUGCUUAACACAUGCAAGUCGAACGGAAAGGCCCUGCCUUUGUUGGGUGCUCGAGUGGCGAACGGGUGAGUAACACGUGGGUAACCUGCCCUUCACUUUGGGAUAACUCUAGGAAACUGGGGCUAAUACCGGAUAGGACCUCCUGCUGCUUGUUGUGGUGUAGAGAUUUUCGGCGGUGGGGGAUGGUCUCGCGGCAUAUCCGCUUGUUGGUGGGGUAGUGGCGUACCAGGGCUUGGACGGGUCGGCGGCCUGAGCGGGUGACCGGCCACAUUGCUACGGAGAGAGGGCCCAGACGGCUACGGGAGGCAGCAGGGGGGAGGAUGACUGAAUGAGCGGAGGCCGGAUGAAGCAGCGACGCGUGCGGGAUGAUGGCGUUCUGGGGGUAAACAACUUUUUCCGGAAAAGAAGAGUGAGGGACGGUAAUGGGUAAAGAAGCACCGGCUAACUACGUG
Molecule: ribosomal RNA, 468 nt
Filed under: uncultured bacterium
Lineage: Bacteria
Description: partial 16S ribosomal RNA
Rfam family: Bacterial small subunit ribosomal RNA
Source: RNAcentral